Neodiprion fabricii is the source of this 449-nucleotide long non-coding RNA. RefSeq lists it as uncharacterized. The record is from RefSeq and is a predicted model, not a curated record. NCBI's taxonomy places the organism in Eukaryota, Metazoa, Arthropoda, Insecta, Hymenoptera, Diprionidae. The transcript is spliced from 2 exons.
CACAUAGGAAGUUGAUCCUUCUAAAAUUCCUCAAAAAGUGGCAAAAUAAUAUGAAAGCUUUAUCUGCCCUGAAGCACUAUUAUUCAUUGACGAAGACGAUUUUUUCUUGACCUUAGUGACUUGUUAACUAAUAUUAUUCUUGGAUAUGAAGGUCAGACAACAACAACAAGAAUCAAACUCAAACUCAAACCUCUUGAUUCAAACUUACAACGGCCGUCGUGUGUUUUAUUUCAUUAAAUUAACAAUAAGGAUGAAGGCUUGGUAGCUACGUAUCGCGAUCGCAGCGUGUUUUGGUUUUUGUUUUUUUUGUCUUAUUCUAUUAACCAACACGCAUUCACCACUUAAUAGUGGUCCCUUUCGUCUGGAAUUGAAAGUGUCAAACUACACCAGAUGGUUUAAAUAGAUUUGUUCUGAGGAGGGCCCCCAUCAGGGCUGAAACGUAAACACAA